This 269-nucleotide unclassified non-coding RNA is filed under the name fungal sp. RNAcentral describes it as "partial internal transcribed spacer region". The stretch from base 1 to 46 matches the Rfam family "Eukaryotic small subunit ribosomal RNA", at positions 1786 to 1831 of the family's 1831-position model. The record is from RNAcentral. Lineage: Eukaryota; Fungi.
AAGUCGUAACAAGGUUUCCGUAGGUGAACCUGCGGAAGGAUCAUUAAAAAAUCGCCUGAGCCGCAAGGCUCUAUUAUCUUGUGAAACGUUGUUGUGGCCUAUUCUGGGAUGCAUAGUGCGUGUGUGCACGAGCGGUUCGCCCGCUGGUGCUGCAGCAGUAGUGUUCCCCUAAGAUGCCACUACAUUUUAUUUAAACAUAUGUUUUUGACGUCGAGGAAUGUAUCUGUAAUACACAUAUACAACUUUCAACAGUGGAUCUCUCGGCUCUU